UACGUAGGGGGCAAGCGUUGUCCGGAAUCAUUGGGCGUAAAGCGCGAGUAGGCGGUUCGAUAAGUCUGCUGUGAAAGUCCAGGGCUCAACCCUGGAAAGCCGGUGGAUACUGUCGGACUAGAGUGCGGAAGAGGCGAGUGGAAUUCCCGGUGUAGCGGUGAAAUGCGCAGAUAUCGGGAGGAACACCAAUUGCGAAGGCAGCUCGCUGGGACGUUACUGACGCUGAGACGCGAAAGCGUGGGGAGCGAACAGG
Molecule: ribosomal RNA, 253 nt
Filed under: uncultured bacterium
Lineage: Bacteria
Description: partial 16S ribosomal RNA
Rfam family: Bacterial small subunit ribosomal RNA
Source: RNAcentral